GCCAUUGCUCCAGCCGUUCAGGUGCUUGUAACUGUCCAUGCGCUGGUUCACGCCCACGCCCAGACCGGCGCCCACCCCGACCCUGUUGAGCCAACUUUUAAGUUGCCACAUGACACAUCUUGUCCAUCAGACCUAUAUCACAUGAUCACACUGAGCUGAAAGAGAAACUUUAAAUGUCUUCAUUCUGUAUGUCCAGUUGUAUACCAAAAACUGGAAGAAGGGAAGGACAUCUUGGGGGACAACUGGCUCUCUUAUGACAAUCCACCGCUUUGAAUACCAAGUUUUCAUGCCUCAUUUUUUUUUCCCCAGUGUGGAAGAUACCCAUCCACAAGAGAGUGGGCUCAAAGUGACUGCAUUUACUUCUAAAUGUGCCAUACUCUCUAUAAGGUCUUAAAUUAGCUCCUUGUUAUACUUCAUAAAUGAAAAGAGUAUCUUCCCCUACGUACCCAGAGUGUAGUAACAAUUUCAAUUCAGAAAGGGAAAGAGGCCG
This 490-nucleotide long non-coding RNA is filed under the name Homo sapiens (human). RNAcentral describes it as "HSALNT0143102". The record is from RNAcentral. Lineage: Eukaryota; Metazoa; Chordata; Mammalia; Primates; Hominidae.